Molecule: ribosomal RNA, 275 nt
Filed under: uncultured prokaryote
Description: partial 16S ribosomal RNA
Rfam family: Bacterial small subunit ribosomal RNA
Source: RNAcentral
UACGUAGGUGGCAAGCGUUGUCCGGAAUUACUGGGUGUAAAGGGCGUGUAGGCGGGACGGCAAGUCAGAUGUGAAAUACCUCGGCUUAACUGGGGUGCUGCAACUGAAACUGUCGUUCUUGAGUGUCGGAGAGGAAAGUGGAAUUCCCAGUGUAGCGGUGAAAUGCGUAGAGAUUGGGAGGAACACCAGUGGCGAAGGCGGCUUUCUGGACGAUAACUGACGCUGAGGCGCGAAAGCGUGGGUAGCAAACAGGAUUAGAUACCCCCGUAGUCCCU